This 110-nucleotide small nuclear RNA is filed under the name Sciurus vulgaris (Eurasian red squirrel). The record is from RNAcentral. Lineage: Eukaryota; Metazoa; Chordata; Mammalia; Rodentia; Sciuridae.
GUGCUUGCUUUGGCAGCACAUAUACUAAAAUUGGAACAGAUAAUGCAACAGAUAAUAGCAUGGCCCUAUGCAAGAUUGACACACAAAUUCAUGAAGCAUUCCAUAUUUUU